CCAGACUCCUACGGGAGGCAGCAGUGGGGGAUAUUGCACAAUGGGGGAAACCCUGAUGCAGCGACGCCGCGUGUGGGAAGACGGUCCUCUGGAUUGUAAACCACUGUCCCCAGGGACGAAGAUGACGGUACCUGGGGAGGAAGCCCCGGCUAACUACGUGCCAGCAGCCGCGGUAAUACGUAGGGGGCAAGCGUUAUCCGGAUUCACUGGGUGUAAAGGGAGCGUAGACGGCGACGCAAGUCUGGAGUGAAAGCCCGGGGCUCAACCCCGGGACUGCAUUUGGAACUGUGCUGCUAGAGUGUCGGAGAGGCAGGCGGAAUUCCUAGUGUAGCGGUGAAAUGCGUAGAUAUUAGGAGGAACACCAGUGGCGAAGGCGGCCUGCUGGACGAUGACUGACGUUGAGGCUCGAAAGCGUGGGGAGCAAACAGGAUUAGAUACCCUCGUACA
Molecule: ribosomal RNA, 447 nt
Filed under: uncultured bacterium
Lineage: Bacteria
Description: partial 16S ribosomal RNA
Rfam family: Bacterial small subunit ribosomal RNA
Source: RNAcentral